GGCUAAAUACUCCCCAGCGACCGAUAGUGAACCAGUACCGUGAGGGAAAGGUGAAAAGCACCCCGACAAGGGGAGUGAAAGAGAUCCUGAAACCGUGUGCCUACAAAUAGUCAGAGCCCGUUAAUGGGUGAUGGCGUGCCUUUUGUAGAAUGAACCGGCGAGUUACGAUCCCGUGCAAGGUUAAGCUGAAGAGGCGGAGCCGCAGCGAAAGCGAGUCUGAAUAGGGCGUUUAGUACGUGGUCGUAGACCCGAAACCAGGUGAUCUACCCAUGUCCAGGGUGAAGUUCAGGUAACACUGAAUGGAGGCCCGAACCCACGCACGUUGAAAAGUGCGGGGAUGAGGUGUGGGUAGCGGAGAAAUUCCAAUCGAACCUGGAGAUAG
This 382-nucleotide ribosomal RNA is filed under the name Bacillus sp. SRB_336. RNAcentral describes it as "bacterial LSU rRNA". It matches the Rfam family "Bacterial large subunit ribosomal RNA", at positions 464 to 848 of the family's 2925-position model. Lineage: Bacteria; Bacillati; Bacillota; Bacilli; Caryophanales; Bacillaceae. The record is from RNAcentral.